Long non-coding RNA from Schistocerca nitens (vagrant locust), 4872 nucleotides. RefSeq lists it as uncharacterized. Lineage: Eukaryota; Metazoa; Arthropoda; Insecta; Orthoptera; Acrididae. The record is from RefSeq and is a predicted model, not a curated record. The transcript has 2 exons.
UACAGUGGUAGCCGCCUGACCACACAGGCAUCACACUGUUGGUGCCUGAGCUGAAAAUUCCCCAUCUAUUCCAAGGUAUAUGUGCCCAUGAUGUCAGGUACACAGGGACUCCAAGCAAUGGAUUACUGGCCAGGUAGCCAUUGCCUAGGCUAGGUGGCACCCAUAGGGAGAGCCCACGUUCUGAUUGGGUGGCACCAUGGUAGAUGAGCUGCAAAUGAAGCGGAUGAAGUUAUCUCCUGCUAUUGGCAAUACAGCCACAGCAGUCUCUGUGAAAGGACAAUCCUCUUUCAGUGCUGACAAGUAUGACCCUAAAAUAGCCCCUUCCAUGGUUAUACAAUGGAAGGAAUGUAGAGCUAAGCAGCAAGCAGAAGAAUACUCCCUGCAAUACGUAGUUUGCACAAGGACUGAUGGGGAUUCAUUCUUGGCCACAAAGCUUUUAUUCUAUGUAGAAACUAUAGAGGGCAAGUUUGAGGAGGUUGCAGCCAUUUACAAAAUGAAGAGUGGGUUAAUUUUAAUCAAAGCAGUGUACCCUACCCAGCCACAGCCACUGCUCACUUGUAAUAAGCUGCGUGAUGUCCCAGUGACUGUUGUUUCCCAUAAGUCUUAAUAUUGGCCAGGGCAUCAUUUCUUGCUGAGACCUGCUCUCACAAUCUGGGCGUGAUCCUGGAGUGAUGGGGUGUACAAUUUGUCCAUCGUGUACGUAGGGGGCCAAAGGACAAUAGGGUCACUACUGGAGCCUUCAUCUUGGCCUCUGAGGGCAAUUCGUUGCCUGAAAAUGUUCACGUGAUGGUAUACCAUUGUGGUAUAAACCAUAUGUUCUCUUCACACCCUCCCCCCUCAUGUCUGAAAUUUAGCUACAUAUUUUAGUGCUGCAGCACUAGCCCUGUCUAGAGCUUGUGGACAAGUGCUGCAUGCAAAUGGUCCUUGUUCCCCUCCCUCCAUCUGUGUCAUCUGCAGAAAACACCCCCCCCCCCUCCCGCCCCACCACACACACACAAGAUAGCACUGUUUCCCAGAGAGUGAAGAAGAUAUGAGAAUAAAAGACUGGACAAACUUGCUUACCAACAGGCUUAAAAGAAGUAAAAGUGGUUGCACCCAGCACGUACGAUAUGUUCUAUGCUACAGCUGCGACAGUGUCAGCCCCUUUGCCAGUGGUACUCAUGCCCAUUACACCUCCCACAGCGGGCCCUCUGGGCUGCACAACCAGGUCUUGUUCUCCUGGUGGUUAGGGACUCUCCUCUUCCUGCUUCCCUCACACAUACUCUGGGAUUGAUGGCCUCCCGUCCUCUAGGGACAUUGGUCUCCACCUCCCAGCUGGAGAUGAAUCACCUUCCUCCGGCUUAUAUUGCCAGGAAGGGGUCGCCCAGGACAUUUCCUUCCAAGAUUUCCGCCAGUCUACAACAAGACGCCAGUCAGCAGCUAAAGGAGCCACAGGCUGCUUGUAACAGGGUUGCAGUCAUCAUCUUUAUGUGAAACUGAUUAAGAGAAGCCCUUGCCAUCAUAAAAAUCCUCUAAGGGGAGAAAAGACAAAAAAAAAAUUCCUCCAAGAAGAAGGACUUUCCGGUGGCCCCCAUGCCACAACACCCUGUCUGUUUAUUUAAGUUGGAGAUUCUGACAGCCUCUGAGGCCAUAGUUCACAUUACACAAUGGAACAUGGAACCUAUGUAUCAGCAUAAGUAGCUUCGUUGGUCUCUUCAUGGCCUCACAGUACAUAAACAUUAUCCUCCAGGGGAAUCAAAGCAGUUUUUCCACCAUUUGGCAGAGUUAAAUCUUUUAAGCACUUCCCCUGCCUUGCAUUGCCCUUCAGGAGACUUGGUUUCCAAUAGUGUGAACUCCAGCCCUUUGUGGAUAUUGGGGGUAUUACAAUUAUCUGGCUACCUAUGACAUGGUGUCAGGAAGAAUUUGCCCUUAUAUUCUAGACACUCUGUAUAGAUCUUGCAAACUUACUGGUUGAACUUGACCUUUGCCUCUUGAAUGCUUGUACCCCCAUACCCUUCAGUGUGGUGCAUGGAAAUUUCUUGGCCAUUGACCUUACCAUUUGCAGCCUUCUCCCAUCCAUCUACAGGAAAGUCCAGAAUGACCUUUCUGGAGUGACCACUUCGCAAUUUUCCUGUCCCUUCCUCAGCAUCACUCCCCUGCAUGCGUGCCGAGAUCUCUGUGGUGCUUUUGCUUCUGGUGUCGCCCUUGACUCGCCUCUGCAUGGAGAUACCAAUGAGGCACUUCCAUUGAUUUGGCAGCUGAUUUAGCGAUCUCCUGUUCCUCAGGCCUGCCCUGGCACAAGACAGUACCUUUGUGGUCAUCAGAAAUUGCAGAAGCCAUUAUAGAUUGUAGGCAGUCUCCACAGUGUCAUAAGCACUUCCCAUCGAUGGAGCAUCCCAGUGUUGUGAAAUGGCUGCGUACCCUCGUCAGCCACCUGAUAAAAUGAUGAAAACAAGAAUGCUGGAGCACUAAGUUUCAGCCAUCAAACCACAUACCAUGUACUUCCUCUUGUCUAUCCUUUAAUGUUCUAAAACAGUGGUUGGAGUGAAAGCAAUUACCUUUUAUUAUAUGCCACCUGGAGCCAUGUAACACUCCAUUCAGUGAGUGGGAAUACAUCAGUGCCCAAGCCCACUGUCCUGAUACAGCCCCAGGGGCAGACCGCAUCCACAAGCAAAUGAUCAAGCACCUAUCAGUGGACUUUCAGCGUCAUAUACUUGCCAUCUUUAACUGCAUCUGGAGUGAGGGCGAGCUCCCUUCACAAUGGCGACAAAGUAUCACUGUCCCAGUGGUGAAACUGGGUAAGCACUAUCUAGAGAUGGGCAGUUAUCACCCAGUAAGUCUCGCCAAUGUUAUCUGUAAAGCCGUCGGUACACGGUCUGUGCACUCCAGCGUUGAGUGUGCCGAGUUUCUGACAUCACAGUAUGGAAAAAGCACGUUGGGGAGUCUUUCUGAAUGUGCAGAGCAACGUUUAGCAUGUCAGAUAUUCUGAACUUGCGUUUGAAUGUUGACCAAUGAGAUGGAAGAACACCACCUACGUCACAGGCAGAUCGUCUCCACUCAGUAGUGUGAGAACUUCAGAAGCAGAAAUAUGGCUGCCUGGACACAUGACAAAUUGUGUGUGUUAAAAGACGCAUUCAAGGAAGAGCAGUGCUUACAUAAUGUGAAAUGCAAGAACUAUCAUGAUAAACAUUCCCGGUCGGAAGCUCUAAGUAUAGUGUUCCAGAAAGUGAAAAGUGUUUGGCCGCAGUUACAGGACCCAAAGGAAUGCCAGAUAAAGUUUUCCAAUAUGAGAAACAUGUUCAACAUGGACAACAACAAGAAGAGAAGAGAGAGUAUGAAAACCAGAUCAGGAACAGAUGAUGUAUACACACCAAGUUUAUGGUAUUUUAAAAAUCUGCCAUUCCUGGAGGAACAUUAUGUGCCACGGAAAACGAAGGCAACUGAGUACUUGUAUGUAUAACUGUUUCUACACAUUUUGGAAUCAACAGACUAAUGUUAAUUUAUUGCUAGAACGUACUUGUUUGAAAGAAAUUACGACUAUGGAGUACUGUCACUUGGGAAAAAACUCUAGUUGCAGUUUCUAUAUUUCUGUAUCUUGACACCUGCACAGUGGUUUGUGUUUGUUUGUUUGUUUGUUUGAGGCUGUAGCUCUGUGUGAUUGGGGUGGCUGACCUAGUGUGUAGUGCUGGAACUUUUUUGUGGUAAGUAGUCGCUUUUUGGGUCUAUUGUUCACGUAUUCUGAUGUUCGGUGGGGUUUUUGUGUGUUGUUGGGUCGGUGUUAUGUACUGCAUGUGUUGGUGCUUGAGGUUUUGGUAUCGGCUCUAGUGGUUGAUUUAUGUAUUGUAGGGGAAGUACCCGAUUUCAAUUUUUUGGUAUUGUCAGUAGUAUUUGAGCUAUAUAGAUUAUGGAAUGUGUCCGAUUCCAAUUUGUCGUCGUAGGUAUGUGUGUUUUGGGUUUUUGAGCUGCUGUUGACGUAGAUAGGUCAAGAGAAGAGUCCGAUUCCAGUUUUUGUUGUUUUAGGUGUUGGUUUUGUGGUAUCGAUAAUUGUGGUGUGAUUAUAAUUUUAGGAGUAGUAUGUUUUUAUUUUGUGGUAUCAACAAAUGCGGUUGAGCCAUGUAUGUGAAGGGAAGUGACCGAUUCCUGUCGAUUGGGAUCAUGGUGCGUGUAUGUAUUUAUAUUUAGUUUGUUCCCAUGCAAAAACCCCCAAUCUCCCGCGCUGGUCCCAUUACUUUGAUUAUAUUUUUGGAGGGUGAUGUGUUUGUUGGUUUUAUAUGUAAAGCCCUUAUUUCCAAUGACAUUACACUUUAAUUUUAUUGGGACAGUUCAGGCAGCAUAAAUAUAUACUACAGUCUAUUUUCCAAUUAUUGCUUGUGGUACUGUUGUAAAGUAAUGAGUAAGUGUGGAAGAAACUACAGUUGAGGUUGGUCAGCCAGCCAGCUCAAACAAACAAAAGUUAACUGUCAUAAAGUUUUAUUUCUGUUCAUUGCAAUUUUCAGUGAAUAAUUUCUAUACAGUCUUCACUAAAAUCAACCUGGGUGUUUUGUGUACCACUUUAUUUUAUGUUUCAGUUAGAUGAUGGGGGCACCUCCAGGGAUAGUGAUCCAGCUCCAGCAUAUUGUGAACUGGAGGCGGACAGUGCAACUAACAACAUUGAGGAUGUCUGCAGUUACAGUAGUAUCAGUAUGUUUGUAGCAAAUGAUCAAGCAUCCUCACAGACAGUUCAGGAGUCACUAUUUAUUCAAAUGUCCACACCUAUGUCUUCAUCUAAGAAAAGAAAGUAAAAUGAAUAUGGGUCUGCAGUCACCUGAUUGUGAAGGCACUCCAGGAAGAUGAUGAUAGUGAUGAAACAGAUCUGUUCAUUAAAUUUCUGGGAGGAGAAAUUAAAAAAAAAAA